CGACCUUAGACUCGAAGUCGUAUCAUUUAAACAAAAAGAUAAUGAAACUUUGGGAAAAUCCUAGAAACAUUUUUCUGAUCUUUUAGAAUCUAGUCCAAACCUUAAUCUUGAAGACCCUGUUCUUUUAUUUCACUUCUUUCAAGGUCUUCAGAAAGAACAUAAACAAAUGCUACAUACAAUGUCUAGAGUUCUUUCUUUCGCAUCCCUACUGAUGAAGCUAGAGUGAUCUUAGAUAGAAUCCUAGAAGCUGAGAUGGAUAAUACCCUUCAUGAUGAAACCCACGAAGCCGAAGUAGACACUCUGCCAAAUUCUCCAUCUACUUUAGCUAUCCCAAGUUAUGAGCC
RNAcentral lists this long non-coding RNA (344 nucleotides) under Sorghum bicolor (sorghum). RNAcentral's name for it is "long non-coding RNA (SBIC_LNC015910)". Lineage: Eukaryota; Viridiplantae; Streptophyta; Magnoliopsida; Poales; Poaceae. The record is from RNAcentral.